CCAAUUGCAAAUUGUCUUAGAAUAUUACUCUCUACAUCAUAUUAAAAGUUAACUCAAAGGUGAACAACCCCUUUAUGCUUUCCCAGCGGGGUAACUAUCAGGGGGUGCAACUGCAUUGGGGCAGAACUGAACCUGAAUCCUUAAAAUCAUGUGACUUUUUCUCACGUAAACACGGAAACUGAAAAUGUUCCACUGCGCACAUAUAUACGGGCCCUGCGGGUUAUUAUUAGGGUGAUUAUUCUGAGACCCUGCUUAUAGGUUACUGGGUUGAUCCAAUUGUAGGAUUAGGGGUGCUCACCCCUAUAUAUUCCUAUAUAUUUAUCUUCCCUAUUGAUAAUAUCAGGACCAAGCAUCAUUUCUACCGGCCAGGUGGCGACUCUACGUAGGGUUAAUUUAUACCAAUUGAAUAUAUAUUUAUUGUAAUGACUUAUUAUUGCACUAGAGGGCGCUCUCUCCUUAUAUUGUCAUAUAAUAUGUCAAACCGUUGGAAGAGAACUGGGGUUUAUAAUUAUAUUUUAUCACUAUCCCCAAUGACAUGAGGGCAAUAGAAAGCUGAAAUGUGCGGUAUCGAGGCAAAUGCCUUACAGUGUAUGUGCAGCUUAGGAGCAAUGAGAAGUGUGGGAGAUAGGAGAGGGAUUUGUAUGGAUGAGUGUUGAUAGGGUCUGAGUUUAAAGAUAGGAAGGAAUAUGUGUGAGGUGUAUGGGAGCAUCGUAAUGGGGGAAUGUGGGGGGAAUCUGGGGAUAUAAGGAUAUAAGGUUGGGGCUGAGAUGUAUGGAGACCUGGGACAUAGGGAGAGGUUGGGGCUGAGAUGUAUGGAGACCAGAGACAUAGGGAGAGGUUGGGGCUGAGAUGUAUGGAGACCAGGGACAUAGGGAGAGGUUGGGGCUGAGAUGUAUGGAGACCUGGGACAUAGGGAGAGGUUAGGGCUGAGAUGUAUGGAGACCAGAGACAUAGGGAGAGGUUGGGGCUGAGAUGUAUGGAGACCAGGGACAUAGGGAGAGGUUGGGGCUGAGAUGUAUGGAGACCUGGGACAUAGGGAGAGGUUGGGGCUGAGAUGUAUGGAGACCAGAGACAUAGGAGGAGGUUGGGGCUGAGAUGUAUGGAGACCUGGGACAUAGGGAGAGGUUGGGGCUGAGAUGUAUGGAGACCAGAGACAUAGGGAGAGGUUUGGGCUGAGAUGUAUGGAGACCUGGGACAUAGGGAGAGGUUGGGGCUGAGAUGUAUGGAGACCAGAGACAUAGGGAGAGGUUGGGGCUGAGAUGUAUGGAGACCAGAGACAUAGGGAGAGGUUGGGGCUGAGAUGUAUGGAGACCAGAGACAUAGAGAGAGGUUGGGGCUGAGAUGUAUGGAGACCAGAGACAUAGGGAGAGGUUGGGGCUGAGAUGUAUGGAGACCUGGGACAUAGGGAGAGGUUGGGGCUGAGAUGUAUGGAGACCUGGGACAUAGGGAGAGGUUGGGGCUGAGAUGUAUGGAGACCAGGGACAUAGGGAGAGGUUGGGGCUGAGAUGUAUGGAGACCAGGGACAUAGGGAGAGGUUGGGGCUGAGAUGUAUGGAGGAGUAGAUGUGUGAGUAGUAAGUUAAGUGGGGAGUAGGGAGCAGGAAAGUGAUAACAGGGAUGUGAAUAAAUAUUUGCUGAUAUUUUCCAAACAAAGAAAUGAAAGAAUGGAGUAAACAAAAUUUUUAGGUGCUGAAAAUCACAAUAUAAAGUAUUUGGCUUUAAUUAACUCCUGUGUUUCCUACUGCCGCCUUGAUUCAGCCUGCAGCCCUCCAGCUAAUGCAUUCUGGGAGUUGUGGGGCUUAUGCAGGGGGCAGGCGAUAGAGGGGGGGCAGUGGGAAUUACACCCAGGUGCCUUUAUACGUCAUUAUUGUCAGAACUUUACUGAGGCAAUAAAAUGUGUUUAUUUAA
Xenopus tropicalis (tropical clawed frog) is the source of this 1907-nucleotide long non-coding RNA. RefSeq lists it as uncharacterized. The record is from RefSeq and is a predicted model, not a curated record. The transcript is spliced from 2 exons. Lineage: Eukaryota; Metazoa; Chordata; Amphibia; Anura; Pipidae.